This is a long non-coding RNA of Sinocyclocheilus anshuiensis, 491 nucleotides long. RefSeq lists it as uncharacterized. NCBI's taxonomy places the organism in Eukaryota, Metazoa, Chordata, Actinopteri, Cypriniformes, Cyprinidae. The record is from RefSeq and is a predicted model, not a curated record. The transcript is spliced from 3 exons.
UUGGGAAAUUUGGAAAAAGUUGACAUUGCAGUGUCGCCCAUCCACCGCAAGAGAGAAGUAUACAUCUGACCAAACAGCAGUGGACACAAAGCUGACCAGCUCACGGACGUACAACUGUUUCAGGGCAGCCCAGAGCCAAGGACACCUUGCCAUGGCAAAAAAAACAAAUGCAGAGACAACUGUCCCUGAGGUCAGAACAGGUGCUGCGGGACAGGCCAGAGUCCGCCGGGACAGCUGUACUAUUCCUGUCCAGAACAGAGCCGGCUGACUGCGGAUCCACAGAGACUAAUGACAGAUGGACAGAUUUAUUCACUCCGAUGAGCAAUUUCCACACACACAGACUCGUGGAAAAUCAUGCAGCUGCAACACCCCGCGCCAAUUAACAUGACUGCGACCUCACACAUCCGGGUCAGUGCAUCCGAGCAGGGGAACAAAGGCAGAGCUGGUCCCACAAUGUGAGUUCCCAAUUACCCUUGAGUGAGAUCCAGAGA